Molecule: unclassified non-coding RNA, 164 nt
Filed under: Butyrivibrio fibrisolvens
Lineage: Bacteria; Bacillati; Bacillota; Clostridia; Lachnospirales; Lachnospiraceae
Description: Clostridiales-1 RNA
Source: RNAcentral
CGAUUCCCGUCAUCUGCUUAAUUGGGGUCGUGGUUAGAUGUUUCAUUUAACCACGGCUUUUUUGUUGCACAAGACCGGCAAGCGAAUGGAUGCUUGCAUACAAAUUCAUUUGCCGGUCGUAAGAACAUGGAGCACUAAGUGCGGAAUGUUCGUGUGCGAAAUCG